This 769-nucleotide ribosomal RNA is filed under the name uncultured bacterium. RNAcentral describes it as "bacterial SSU rRNA". It matches the Rfam family "Bacterial small subunit ribosomal RNA", at positions 63 to 832 of the family's 1533-position model. The record is from RNAcentral.
CGAGCGGUAUUGUUUCUUCGGAAAUGAGAGAGCGGCGUACGGGUGCGGAACACGUGUGCAACCUGCCUUUAUCUGGGGGAUAGCCUUUCGAAAGGAAGAUUAAUACUCCAUAAUAUAUUGAACGGCAUCGUUUAAUAUUGAAAGCUCCGGCGGAUAGAGAUGGGCACGCGCAAGAUUAGCUAGUUGGUGAGGUAACGGCUCACCAAGGCGAUGAUCUUUAGGGGGCCUGAGAGGGUGAUCCCCCACGCUGGUACUGAGACACGGACCAGACUCCUACGGGAGGCAGCAGUGAGGAAUAUUGGUCAAUGGGUGCAAGCCUGAACCAGCCAUCCCGCGUGAAGGACGACUGCCCUAUGGGUUGUAAACUUCUUUUGUAUAGGGAUAAACCUACCCUCGUGAGGGUAGCUGAAGGUACUAUACGAAUAAGCACCGGCUAACUCCGUGCCAGCAGCCGCGGUAAUACGGAGGGUGCAAGCGUUAUCCGGAUUUAUUGGGUUUAAAGGGUCCGUAGGCGGACUUAUAAGUCAGUGGUGAAAGCCUGUCGCUUAACGAUAGAACUGCCAUUGAUACUGUAAGUCUUGAGUAUAUUUGAGGUAGCUGGAAUAAGUAGUGUAGCGGUGAAAUGCAUAGAUAUUACUUAGAACACCAAUUGCGAAGGCAGGUUACCAAGAUAUUACUGACGCUGAGGGACGAAAGCGUGGGGAGCGAACAGGAUUAAAUACCCUGGUAGUCCACGCCGCAAACGAUGCUAACUCCUUUUUGGGCUUUA